This 1303-nucleotide long non-coding RNA is filed under the name Homo sapiens (human). Its description in RNAcentral is "HSALNT0022780". The record is from RNAcentral. Lineage: Eukaryota; Metazoa; Chordata; Mammalia; Primates; Hominidae.
GAACUCCUGGGUGUGGUGGUGCGCACCUGUAGUCCCAGCAACUCUGGCAGGCUGAGGCAGGAGAAUCGCUUGAACUCAGGAGGCGGAGGUUGCAGUGAGCCGAGAUUACGCCACUACACUCCAGCCUGGAGACAAAGUAAGACUCCAUCUCAGGAAAAAAAAAAUUUAAAUUAAAAAGUUCUAGUAUCUAAAAUGAGCAAAAUCGCCAGGCGCGGUGGGUCACACUUGUAAUCCCAGCACUUUGGGAUGCAGAAGUGGGUGGACCAGCCGAAGUCAGAGGUUGAGACCAGCCUGCACUGAGCGAUUCUCCCGCCUAAGCCCGGCAAGUAGCGGAGACUACAAGUGCGUGCCACCAUGCCCAGCUAAUUUUUUGUAUUUUUGUAGAGACAGGCUUCCACCAUGUUGCCCAAACUAGUCUGGAAUUCCUGAGCUCAAGUGAUCCACCCGCUUCCGCCUCCGCCUCCCAAAAUGCUGGGAUUACGGGCGUGAGCCACCGGGCCUGGCCCAAUUACUUUCUUCAGUCUGAGCAUGAGCGCUGGAAGAAAAGCUCUCACUUGCAUAUAAUUUUUUAGAGACAGAGUCUCCCUCUGUUACACAGGCUGGAGUGCAAUGGCGCAAUCUCAGCUCACUGUAACAUCAACCUCCAGUGCUCGAUCGCUUAUAUAAUCUCAGCUCACUGUAAUCUCAACCUCCCGGGCUCGAUCGCAUAUAUAUACACACAUAUAUUUGUUUGUUUAGACGGAGUCUUGGUCUGUUGCCCAGGCUGGAGUGCAGUGGCGCGAUCUCCGCUCACUGCAACCUCCGCAUCCCGGGUUCAAACAAUUCUCUGCCUCAGCCUCCCGGGUAGCUGGGAUUACAGGCACCAGCCACCACGCCCGACUAAUUUUUGUGUUUUUAGUAGAGACGGGGUUUCAGUGAAACCAUGCUGGCCAGGCUGGUUUUGAACUCCUGUCCUCGUGAUCCACCUGCCUCGACCUCCCAAAGUGCUGGGAUUACAGGCGUGGGCCACCUCGCCCAGCCGACUGCUUAUAUUUUUAAAAAGAUGUUUUCUUCAUUUCCUAGCCCCUUCUACCCCGCUACAAAGUUUCAAAGACUUAAUGCUAUUACAAAGGGCCGUCAGAGGUCAAGCUCAGGGGUGCAGCUCCCUCAUGCCAGGCAGCCUCAGAGGGGGCCGACCCUACCCAGGAUGAGCGGCGCCAGGUAGCCGGGGACGCUCCCGGGGAUCCCCGGGCCCUGGCUGGGGGAGGCGUUGUGGGGCGCACGUACCCAGGCUCAGAUGAGGCGAGUGGGCGGCCGGGGCUGC